GCCUUCGUGGUGUAGUGGUCAGCACGCUCGACGCGUAUUCGAGAGGUCCAUGGUUCGAUUCCCGGCGAGGGCA
This 73-nucleotide transfer RNA is filed under the name Stegodyphus mimosarum. RNAcentral describes it as "tRNA-Thr for anticodon CGU". It matches the Rfam family "tRNA". Rfam says of the family: Transfer RNA (tRNA) molecules are approximately 80 nucleotides in length. Their secondary structure includes four short double-helical elements and three loops (D, anti-codon, and T loops). The record is from Rfam by way of RNAcentral. Lineage: Eukaryota; Metazoa; Arthropoda; Arachnida; Araneae; Eresidae.